AAUCUACACCCAUACAGAGUUGCAUUGCAAAAAAAUCUACACGCUUGUCCAAUAUGUACACCCUUAGAUUUUAAAGUGCACAAAAUCUAAAUUCUUAGAUUUAGUGCACAACCUCUGCACCUUUAGUUUUCAGUGCACAAAGAUUUUUAAGUGCACAAAAUCUACCCCUUUAGUUUCAGUGCACAACGUCCACACCCGUUUGUGUUCAAACUCUAUACCCUUAGACUUCCAUGUGCACAAAUCUUACACCCAUAGUUUCAGUGUAGGAAAUCAACACUGUUGCAAGGUUUCAGUGCACAAAGUGCACACUUUCAGUUUCACUGUGAAAAAUGUACACAGUUAGAGCUUCAUUGCACAACAUCUACACCCUCAGUUUCAGUGUACAAAAUCUACAUACUUAGAGUUUCAGUGCACAAGCAUCUACCCCUUUAGAGUUUCAGUGCACAAAGUCCACACCCUUACAGAGUUUGUGUCCAAAAUGUAUACCCUUAGUUUCUGUGUAGAAAAUCUAUACUGUUACAAUGUUUCAGUACACAACAUCUACACAUUUACACAUUCACAACGUGCACACUCAGUUUCACUGUGAAAAAUGCACACCCUAAGAAAUUCACUGCACAACAUCUACACUCUUAAAGUUUCAUGCACAAAGAUCUACCCCUUUGUUUUCAGUGUACAAAAUCUACACUCUUGCAAGGCUUCAGUGUUCAACAUCUACACAAUAUGUGCACAAUAUCUCAACCUUUAAAGCGAUUUCUGGGGACUCUAUUCUGUCUUUUUGCACUUUAUUUUGCAGAAAAAAAAACUUAUUUACCUCAGUAGCUGUGCACAAUGUAAAUUUCUUAUUUUUGAGUUGUGCCAUAUUUGCGUUAUUUAACAUUUGCAAAAAUACCCUAAAAUGUGUAAGCAAUAGCCAGUCAGGUUUCUGUGCGGAUAAACACAUGCUGACAACCAACUGGGACACACCCCUGAUAUACACAGCUCCCUUCAGAAUCUGUUUAUUUACAUUUACGUCCAAUACCGAUCCAAAUGCAAGGAGGCUUCGCCUUGCUGUGCUGCACAGUCAGGCCUUACAUCACCAAAAUGAAUGUGGAAAAAUCUGACCAUCACUGGCAAUUAGUCAGAGAGAAGGGCCGAUGUUGUUUGGAUCCAAGCCUCCUCUUCUGAUAGCAGCAAAUCUACCAAAUCUGGGGAGUUGUUGGUUGCUGGGUCAGUCGUCCCCAAAUGAAACAAAAAAAGAGGAAGGCUUGCCGCUUUUCUAUUGGAAAUGGGAGCAGAACUCAACUAAAUUUUGCAUGAAAACAUUGUUCUGUCUUCAUAUUUUUCCGUUGAGCAGUUCUGUGAAAGAGUGUUUGGGUUUAGCCAUUUGAACCUUUGAAUUAUGGUAAAAGCAUCACCAGCCUGGAUUCAAUUAAAUUAACCUGUAAUAUUUGCCCAUAACUUCCCGUUGAAAAUGGACAAUUUUACUGAAGAAUUAAUUUUCCUUUUUUUUUUUUCAAGUAAGUGCAACAAUCACCAAAUUAAUGAAAAAGAAUUUGUGAUACCAUGGAAAAAGUAAUAUUGGUAUUUAAUUGGACAAAGGUGAAAAUCUAAGUGUUGAUUAAAUCCAAACAAUAUUUUGUCUUUAUAUGACAUUUAUGACAAUAUGUAUUUAUUAAAACCUGAAGGUUGCAGUCAUAGCAAAUUUUGUCCAAAUGCAGUUAUUUCUUUGUAAAUGAAACAUGAGAUUGUUUGAAUUUUCAUCAUUCUGUCUGGAUUUCUUUUUCUUUUCUUUUUUUUUGUUUCACUUAAACUUUUCUCCUGUAUUUGUACAUUUUUAUUUGUCUUAAUAGCAAUGUGAUAUUUAGAUCUGGUUACUGAAUUGCCAUGAUUGUUUUGUUGUUUGAAAUGUGGUAACGCCAAUAAAGGGACCAAAUGUUGAAACAAAA
Molecule: long non-coding RNA, 1925 nt
Organism: Anguilla rostrata (American eel)
Lineage: Eukaryota; Metazoa; Chordata; Actinopteri; Anguilliformes; Anguillidae
Exons: 2
Source: RefSeq, a predicted model, not a curated record